This is a non-coding RNA of Marmota flaviventris (yellow-bellied marmot), 3332 nucleotides long. The record is from RefSeq and is a predicted model, not a curated record. NCBI's taxonomy places the organism in Eukaryota, Metazoa, Chordata, Mammalia, Rodentia, Sciuridae.
AACAUGAGGAGGGCUGGGCUGCAGCUCAGGUUCUAAAGUCUGGCAUUAGAAAACAAAAAAUUUAAACACCUUUCUCUAGCCUCAAAGGACAAAAAGGAGGAGGAGGAGGAGACUAGAAAAUACUUGGCAUAGUGUCAGACCUAAGCUGGCACUGAACUAAACACAUGAAAACUGAACACAGAGGGCUGUGUUUUCUUGGUUCACCUGUAGAACUAAAAUAGAUUCCCCACCAGGCCCAACUCUUAGCCUUAGCCUUCUGCAAAGGGCUCCGAGGAGCUUUCUGUCCCCACUGAUUUGCAGAUGUGGUCUUUAGCAGAUCCCAGAAGGAACUCAAGAGGAAAGAGAAAUCACUCCCUGGGAGCAUGAGCUUUAAGUCCAUGGCAACCUGGGGUGCACCUCGUUGUUUGAGAAAGAAAAGUGGUGCAGGACCAAUCACACACACACAUGAGAUAAGAAGUCCCACAGAGAGGGACAGCAGCCACAACUCCCCCUUGGAUGCUACCUUUUUAUAGGCUAGAAUCGUGGCCAUGUGCUAGGGGCAAGUUUAGUCUUGACUGACAUAGCAAAGCGGGAACAGGGAAACUGGUACGUCCCUUUAUCUUCUCAAGGAGAGAACAGGGAAACCGGUACGUCCCUAUCUGAGGGGCAGGUAAGUUGUCUCCUAUCCCUCAGGGAGAGACCAGCAUGUCUCCAAGCUGGUAGGUUUUAUCUCAGGCUACUUUCUAUUUCUUGGGAAUAAGAACAGUACUCAUAAAGUGGCGGUGGGGAAAAGGAAGAUGGCUGCAGUGAUGCUAACAGUUUGUAGUCCAGGGGAGAAGGAGUAUAUAUCCUUUAUCACUCCCGUCCCUCCCUGAGACAGUGAUUGGUAGCAUAACAGUCCCAGGUGGUAAAGAAGCCUGAUGGCACUUGGAAAAUAACUGCUCUGUAGGGUGAAUGCAGUGGUGCCUUCUUUGCAUGCAGCAGUUCCCAUGGUGCAUGAAUUGGAUGAAAGUAACUCAGACACCACCCCACCAAAGUGGGGGCAUAUUUGGGACAAAGGAGUGCUUUGUGCACUGGUCCUUUAUCCCAUGAGCUCCAAAAGAUCCUAGGGCAGGUGCAGUGUGCACCAAAAGAUCCUAGGGCAGGUGCAGUGUGCACCUGAGCAAACAGCACACCCUGCUGAUACAUGUGAGCAGACAGCCAUCGUCCUUCAAGGAAGGAAAAGCCCUGUUGGGCACCAGUGCUUGGUUCACUGACCAGUCCAGCUGAGUCCCAUAGACCAUUGCACUGCCAUUGCUCUACGGACACCUUAUGGUGUGAUGCUGGGCUGGGGCAAAGCCCCCAAUUGGCUGGUCCCUGCCAUAAGUGCUGGAAAUAGUGGGGGUCCUGACACGAAGGCAAGAAUUUUACUUCCAUGCACAGAUGUUUUUAAAAGCAGUGUCCAUCACUUUUAAAGUUUUUCUUUGGUAGGAAAAAGAUGACUUAAAAUGGUAACUAGGUUUUUUAGAUAGGUUGAUUUUCAUGAGUAACCCCAAAUGAGCAGUUAAAAAUAGGACUUUUCGUAGAUUUCACUGGGACUCACAAUUAAACUACAAGGCAGUGUGGUGCACGAUCCUGAGAGGACCUACUACCUUGCUUGAGAGUGUCCUCUUUGCCCUUUUUCAUAUCUUUAUUUAUUCAUUUUGGUUCUAGGUAUUGAUCCCUAUGGUGCUUCCCCACUGAGCUACAGGCCCACCCUAUUUUAUACUGUGUUUUGGGACAAAGUCUUGCUGAGUUGCUUCAGGCCUUCCUGUGUUGCUGAGGCUCACUUUGAACUUGUGAUCCCUCUGCCUCAUCCUCCCAAGCGACUGGGAUCAAAAUGUAUGCCACUGGGCCUGGCUUUUCUAUCCCUUUUCAUAAACUUUGCUAUUGUUUUAGUAAGUGCCACGUCUUGCCUGGAGGUCUCUCAAGGGAGAACAUACUAGGGUCAUGGAAGGGAACCUCCAAAAAUGCCUCCCUCUGUUGCCAUAAGUAUUCUUCUUACAGCACAGCCACCCCUGAUGCUUGCCUUCCACCUGAGUAAGUAGGAAGCCAGCCGAGGGUGGUCACAUGCCAAAUGUUUGCAGGGACAGCCACUCCCAUCUGCCAACAUUGCAAAAGUAAAAAACACUGCUAUUUUCUCAGCUGCAAAAAUCCCUUCAGCAUACAUAACUUCUGUCUGCAGAUGCCCAUUUAACCAAUGCUAACAUCACCCCUUCCCCUUGGCUGAGUUCUUAUCAGCUAUCCAUCCAAUGGGACAUCUAGGCCAGAGGAGUAGGCAAUUAUGCCCCCAUAAAGAAGUCACAUUCUGAAAGCCAUGUUUUGUCUCAGUGAAGGUGGAAACAGGGGGAUUAAUAACCCCUGGGGACAGGCCAGAAAGAAGGUGCUAAGGUUGGGGCAGCUGCUUCUACAAAUGGCUUGAAACAGCCUUUGCAUGUAGGAAAAAAAUGAAAAUAUAAAGGACCCCCUUCACCUCUGCCACCACUCUGGGUGACACUGAAUCACUUCAAUCCCUGUGCCCCUGCUGGGCUGCAGCAAAGGGAGCAACCCAGGAUGUGUAUGGUUAAUGCCCAUACGGGCAGCAGAGGCUGGUCUAGUCCAACAGCAGCGCCACCUACCUCUCACAUAAGGGCCUGAAUCCUGGAGUCUGCCCCUAUGCUAGGGAGGGGGAGCAUCCAUUUACUCAAGUGGGCACAGGGGCUGUAGGACCCAACCUCAGAGUCCAUGUGCCUGGGGUGGCUGCUGGGUGAGUAUUGUAGGAAGUGGUCUCAAGGGAGGAUAUAGGAAGGUAAGUUUGCAAGUGCCUGCCAGUGAUCAGCUCGGGGACAGCUGGCAGUUGCGGUCCACAGGAAACCCAUGGGAAAUGGAAGCCUAGUUCUCACCUGGCCUGCUUUACUAACCAAGUGAUAAUUUGAUGAUUAUUCUAGCAACUCUUGGGGCCCAUGAGAAACUGUGUGCUGUGUCUGGCUGAGAUAGGAAUUUGGGACACAAAGAAGAUUAACUAAGUCUCAAAAGUACAAGGUCCAUAAACCACUAGAAUACAGGAAAUGCCCAUGAAGUUUUGACAUUAAAAACAAGCAACUUCUAAGAAAACCAGAAUUCUUUUGAUGCCACUAUCUGUGCUCCCAAAAUACUAACAUGAUACCUGGACAAUGAGCAAGCCUAGAAAAAUGUGUGAAAUCACAAUUCUGAUUCCACCUCUAGUCCAGCCCUCACCUAAUGUCCCUCUAUAAAUAACACUACCCAGUGGUUUGCUGUAUCUCCCUUGGAGAUGUCCUGCAUUCUGUGACUAUGUAUCUACAUUCCUAAAUAAAUCUGCCCAUGUCUCUGAUUGA